UACGAAGGGGGCGAGCGUUGUUCGGAAUUACUGGGCGUAAAGCGUGCGCAGGCGGUUCGUUGUGUCGGCGGUGAAAGCCCCGGGCUCAACCUGGGAAUGGCCGUUGAAACUGGCGAACUGGAGUGUGGCAGAGGGGGGUGGAAUUCCGCGUGUAGCAGUGAAAUGCGUAGAGAUGCGGAGGAACACCGAUGGCGAAGGCAGCCCCCUGGGCUAACACUGACGCUCAGGCACGAAAGCGUGGGGAGCAAACAGG
RNAcentral lists this ribosomal RNA (253 nucleotides) under uncultured bacterium. RNAcentral describes it as "partial 16S ribosomal RNA". It matches the Rfam family "Bacterial small subunit ribosomal RNA", at positions 524 to 776 of the family's 1533-position model. The record is from RNAcentral.